GUUUUCUAAUAGUAGACCUGUUCUAUUUUUAAUACAAUACGUGUCCAAGAAAAACUGAUUUAUAUUAUACAUUGUUUAUAAUAUUUAUUCAUGAUCUUUUGUAACAACUAUACACAGUUAAUUUUCCCCUGUCAUCGCUAUGGCCUGACUUGUUUGUUGCAACUCAAUUCUAGUUUGGUAAUUUACAAGUGGUGUCUAAAAUUGAGUUAUUGUGGGUGGGGUCAUAUUACAGGAUUUAUAGUGUAAAGUUUUCCUAUUCCAUGCAAAACUUAAAGAAAAAAAUGGGGUAUAUCUGUAGUGCUAAAUGGGAUUAGUAAAGCAAGGGAAGGCGUAGAUUUCAGCAAGGUAAAACGGUUCUUCCAUGACUGGUUAACAAUUGCAUACUGGGGAUAAUGAAAAAGUUUAACAGCUUGUCACUGAAAGUAGUCCAAGAACACAGAGGUCCAUUUCUGCUAAAUUAGGAAAAUCUUAUAGGCCAUAAACAAGAUAUUUCCCAUUGAUAUUUAGAUCUACAAAAGUGAUACAUAAACUAUGUUCACAAGCUUUUUCAAUAAGACAGUCAAAUGGAAAGCCAACUGUCAAAAUCAGUUUAAGCAUUGUCUGACACAUGAAAAAUACAAUCAUGAAAUACCAUCUUCAGAUUGGGUGCCAAUAAAGUGGCUUCACCUA
Limulus polyphemus (Atlantic horseshoe crab) is the source of this 669-nucleotide long non-coding RNA. RefSeq lists it as uncharacterized. NCBI's taxonomy places the organism in Eukaryota, Metazoa, Arthropoda, Merostomata, Xiphosura, Limulidae. The transcript is spliced from 2 exons. The record is from RefSeq and is a predicted model, not a curated record.